RNAcentral lists this ribosomal RNA (253 nucleotides) under uncultured bacterium. Its description in RNAcentral is "partial 16S ribosomal RNA". It matches the Rfam family "Bacterial small subunit ribosomal RNA", at positions 524 to 776 of the family's 1533-position model. The record is from RNAcentral.
UACGUAGGGUGCGAGCGUUGUCCGGAAUUACUGGGCGUAAAGAGCUCGUAGGGGGUUUGUCGCGUUGUUCGUGAAAACUCACAACUCAAUUGUGGGCGUGCGGGCGAUACGGGCAGACUGGAGUACUGCAGGGGAGACUGGAAUUCCUGGUGUAGCGGUGGAAUGCGCAGAUAUCAGGAGGAACACCGGUGGCGAAGGCGGGUCUCUGGGCAGUAACUGACGCUGAGGAGCGAAAGCGUGGGGAGCGAACAGG